UUUAUAGGUAUGUAAAUUGAUGUUGCGAAGAUUUCUAUAAAGAAAAGAAGUAUGUGCACAAAAAGGAGAGAACAUGAGCAAGAUAGAGCUGCAAAAACAGAAAAAAAAUCAAGGACCAAAACUAAAUAUAGCCCAGAAGAAAAAGCACAGCAGCAUUUUCCUGCAGGUGCAGGCUCUGCUUUUCGGAUCAAUGAACACCAUUUCAUAUGAUCAAAUGCAGCAGCCAGGUCCAACUAGAAGAAUUUUAUGUCCAUGUUAAUUGUGUCCUGCCAUCUUUGCUUUGG
This is a long non-coding RNA of Thamnophis elegans (Western terrestrial garter snake), 284 nucleotides long. RefSeq lists it as uncharacterized. NCBI's taxonomy places the organism in Eukaryota, Metazoa, Chordata, Lepidosauria, Squamata, Natricidae. The record is from RefSeq and is a predicted model, not a curated record. The transcript has 3 exons.